RNAcentral lists this small nuclear RNA (20 nucleotides) under Arabidopsis thaliana (thale cress). RNAcentral's name for it is "snRNA_11005". The record is from RNAcentral. Lineage: Eukaryota; Viridiplantae; Streptophyta; Magnoliopsida; Brassicales; Brassicaceae.
AUUAAUUUAGGGUUUGAAAA